UUUAAAGUAACCCCAAUAAAAUAGUUACUUUAUCAAAAUAUAAAAGUUUAGUUAGUCCUUAAAUUUCCAUUACUAAAAACACAGGUUAAGUACAAAUAGUUUUAUAAGAAACCAUUACCUCUUCUUAAGGAAAUUAGCAAGAUUGCAUUAAGCAGCAAGUUGGAUACAAGUCUUGUACAAUUACGUUAUUCCAAAAAGAUUACUGAAGUUGUAAACAAGCAUCAUAUCUGAUACAAGUUAUGUCAUGCUCCAACCCGUUGGGAUUAACUAACCAUCUUUAAAUAUUGAUAAAUUGACAAGUAUAACAAGGAUUCAUACAAGUGAUGCAAAUACACCCCUAAUUUUCAACAAUAGAUUUAUUGAAUAACAUAAAUAAAUUCCAACCUAUCGAAUAUAGUUCUGACUAUGUCGAUAUAAAAAGUGAUGUAACAUAAAUAUCCCCACAAUAUAAAGUUUUCGACGUACAAGUGACAGGUUUGUAUUAUUUUCUGAAGAAGUGAGCUAGUGAGCAUCAGUUCUCCCGAGUUCCAUCGUCGCAAACAUGAAAACUUACAUGAAACAAAUACAAGUAGCCAACGAUCCUGGCAACGAACUCUGCUCUUGAAAUUCAUUAGACCCGUUGAAACUUCGACUGCUCCAAUUAUAUAUAAAUAAUAACAAAUAAUGAAAUAUGAUAGUAAUGUACAAAAUCUUCAAAUCCUGUCUGGCUUUGGCAUUAUAGCUGUCCAAAAUAAUCUUUAGCGGAUCUAAAUUAAGAGACAGGGCUUGUUUCCAGUGGCGCUCAAAUAAGGUUGAUGGUGAAGGAAACAUAUGGAUGUGUAUCCGCCUCACCUGCUAGGUUAGCCAUUCCAGCCCCAACCUCUUCAUCAGUUUUCCAGUAUGCACUGCACACAAAUUUAUUGAAGGUACAAUAUUACAAUGUAAGAAUAGUCUAUCUAAUUAAGAGAUAAAAAUUACAAAAACAGAAACAAAUAAAUAUUGUCUGUAUGUAUCAAAACACGAGUGGAAAGCAAGAUCUGUUAGAAUUAGGAAAGAAAGAGAAAGAGGAAUUCUGUUAUUCUAUUCAUAUUAUAAAGAAGUUACAGUAGGUGCUUAUUUAUACUAGCAAGAGUAACAAACUAUAACAAAUAGAAUGACAGCUAAGCAUAUUAACAAAUGAAAGACAGCUAAGGCAUUUGGCCACAAGUAGAAAUUAAAUACUACUUAUAUCUCCUAAUAUUCCCCUUAGAAGCUGAGGUGCUUCAAUCAAAUCUUUGUGUUGACACACUCUAAGUUUGUCACGAAGCAGAAGGAACUUUGCUGCAGAAAGGGGUUUUGUCAAAGCAUCUGCCACUAUCUUGAGGCAACAUGAGUAACAAUGAAGCUUUGUUGAGGAACUUUUUCUCUCACAAAGAAAAUGUCCAGUUCAUGUGUUUGUCUGUUAUGGAGACAGGAAUUAUGGCAAGGAAACUGUGCUCAGGUGUUCAACAUAAUUUAGGAGUGUGAAACUGACAUUGAAGUUCAGUGAGGAAGAGACGAAUCCACAGCAUUCUGCAGCAGUUGAGCCAUGCUUCUAUAUUCAGCUUCUGCACUGGAUCUUGCCACAGUGGUUGCUUCUUUGACCACCAAGAAAUCAGAUUGGGCUAAAAACAACAACACCAGAUUUGACCUUUGUCAUCAGGGUCAUUGCCCAGUCAGCAUCACAGAAGCCCAGAAGAACUAGUUGUGCCUGAGAGCAGGUUGAAGAAGUAUAUCCAUAUGAAGUGUACACUUAGAUACCUUAGGAUUCUUUUACUGCUCUUCAGUGCCCUCUAGAGGGUUAGACAGAAAUUGGCACCUUUUAUACUGAAAGGAUAACUCAGGCUAGUUAUGUUGCAUACUGAAGAGCACAACAAUAGAACGAAAUUGGGGUGGAUCUGAAGUGGAAGAGCCUAUUGGACAGUUUGCUGCUAGAUAUCAUGGAGUUGGCAUUCCAUUAGCAGUAGACAUGUUAACCUUGCAAGCAAGUCAGUCCAUAUUUAGUUGAGAAAGAAGUAAUGAUCCAUUAGAAGAUGUGUCACCUCAAUGCCUAAAAAGUAGUCCAAGCUGUCCUAGGUCCUUGAGAGAACUUGUUGUUAGACUGCGAUAAGAUUACAAUGAAAGAAGGAGAAAUUUCCAGUGAUAAUGAUGUCAAUCCAUAUAAACCAACAUUAUUAUAGGAGGCCUGCUAGUGUGGAGAAAGAACAAGCUAGGAUCACACUUACUGCCUUAAAAACAUGCUGCAUUAGGGAGCUUGACCUAUAAAACCAGCCCGGGGAGCCUGUUUAGCCCAUACAAGGCUUUGUUGAGCUUGCAACAAGAGACCUGUCAGUAGCUUCAAACCCAGGGGUUGAAUCAUAUACAACUCUUCUCAAAGAAGGCAUUGAGAAAAGCAUUAUUAACAUCUAUUUGCUUGAUGGUCCACUCUGUUUUGUGACAGCAAGGGUGAGGACAGUCCUGACAGUAACAGGCUUCACCACUGGAGAAAAGGUUCAGUAAAAUCAACUGCCAGCCUUUGAUGAAACCCUUGGCAACCAAUCUUGCCUUAUACUGUUGAUAGACCAUCCGGGUUCUCCUCACCCGAAAAACCCAUUUGCAGCCUAUGGCCCCUUGACUCAGAUGAGACACCAGGUCCAUGUCUGAUUUUUCAAAAGAGCUUGAUAUUUCUCCUGCAUGCCUGGAACCAGUGAGGGAAGCAAAGCUGCUUAACAGUGGUAGGUUCCAAUAGGGUGAGUAAAAGGGUGGGAUGGAUUUUGGGUUGCACAAUCCCAUUUUUGGCUCGAGUUGUCAUAGAAUGGACAUUGAGAGGAUUGAGAAUAUGAGACUGGGAACAGUACUGACAACAGGAUUAGAAUUAGCGGCAGAAUUGGAACCAGACCUGUAGAAUUAAUAGAACUGUGAGGAGAUGGUGAGAUUGUGUGGCUUCAGCUAGUCAAAAAGGCAGAUGGGUGAAGGGAGGAGACUGAGAUACAUUUUGUUGGCUUGAGAGAGGCAAAGGGCUGGAUGAGAUGAGAUUGCAGUAGCUGCAGCUGAAGAUGCAGUGGGACUAAUAUGUUGGAGAGGAGGAACACGUGAGUGGGAAUAAUGGGUGAGAGGCAGCAAUGGAGCAAACAUGUUAGAGGAAGUAGAGGAAGUGGAGGGAUGGAAGAGGUCCAAAUAAGGAAAUCUGGAUUCAUGAAAUAACACAUCCUUAGAGAGAUAAUGUUCCAUCUGCUGCAAGACACUUUAUCCUUUAUGACAGAUGAGUAUCCAAGAAAAUGCAUCUGAGAUCUAAAGCAAGUUUGUGGAAUUAAAAGGACGAAGGAAUGGGGAAGCAAGCACAACCAAAGACACGGAGACUAGAUAGUCAGGAGUUUUUGCAUUAAAUGGAGUAAGGGACUGGUUUGCAAUGAGAACUAGGCGCCUAUUAAGAAGAUAGGCUGCAAUGACAAAGGCAUGAUCAAUACUUGAGAGGCAAGCUGGAAUGAGCAAGCAAAGCUAGGCUGUUUCAACUAUAUGACGAUGUUGCGUUCAACUAUACAUUUUUGAUGAUGAGUAAUAGGGACAGUUGAAGCGAUGGACAUACCUAACUCAGUAAGAUAUUUGGUGAAAGGCUUGAACUCACCACCUCCAUCACUUAACUCCUUUAAUUUGCAAUAAAUGGAGUUCGACCAUGUUUUGAAGUGAUGAAUUGGGUGAGGGUAUCAGAUUUUAACCGAAGAGAAAGACCCAAACAAAUCUAGAAAACGCAUCAACACAGGUAGAAAAAUAUGUAUAACCACCUGAGGAGUGAAUGGGUGCAGGCCCCAUAGAUCACAGACCACAAGUUCAAAGGGAUGGUGAUAAACAGUGUAAGAGGGAGGAUGGAAGUCGAUGAGACUGCCCAAGCAGCAAGCAGAACAUAGGCAGUGGGAGUUUGAGGAAUGGCACAUUGCAUAUUUUAAGAACUUCAAAGCUUGGUGAUGGGGGUGCCAACUCUUGUAUGCAUAAUAAUUAUUUGCUAUCAGAGAUAGAGGUGGAACAGGGACAGAUGAAUGAAAAUUAGAAAUAUUAACAGUAAGAAACAGAGCUGUAGAGAAGACUGUAAACUAGAACAGUGGUGAUUUCAUUAAUAUGGGAAACAGGAUUACAAGAGGAGAUACAAUUGCUAGAAGCAGCUGAAUACAAGUGGAACUAAAGAUAUUAAAAGAGUUAUAACUAUGAAACUUGGAGAAAGAGCAAACAGGAUUGAUAAAGCUGUAGAGUCAUCGGCUCCAACAGUGCCACGAAGAAGAACUUCAGAAGAAUCCUGCGAUUUAACAAGACAAACUGAGGAUGAAACCAAAGAAAACACGUUAUUUGUGCAAAUUUUACUGACCCUCAUAAGGUUCUUAGUGAUGUGAGGAACAAGAAGAAAGGUUAUGACAUUAGAGAUGAGUUAGGAUGAUUGGAUAAAGGAAUUCAUGAACCUACAAGAGUUAAUGCACAAACUUUGGCCAUUUCCAUAUACACUUGUUCAGCUCCAGUCAACGAGGAGCAAUCAGACAAAUUUGAGCAUCAGGCGUGACAUGGUGAGACGCACUGAUAAGAGUAUCUGUGGUAGCAUCCAGAGGCAUCAUGUCAGAUUUAUGACAUAUCUGGCAUGAAACCUUCCAAAUCGACCACACGACCGACGGCCCCACCACGACCGAUUACGACACCGCGUGAACCAUAACCAUGAUUUCAGAGUUGCAGUCACAUGACUAGUUCGUAGGAAAUUAGGGUUCAAAUCAACACCGGAGACUCAGUUGAAGGUGUGCUGAUGGCGGCGAAGCCUGUGUUGAGAUUCAAGUCAAGAUUCAGUGAGAACAGCUUUACGAUUCUUUCAAAUACGCGAUUCGUGAGCAAGAAGACUCGACUCAAGUUCAUCCAACGAAAUAGAUCUUUCUUUGCUAUUCAUUGCACAGCACAAUAGGAAUCGAUUCUUCAGGGAGAGCGCAAGCACGACUUCAAUUAGGUUACGAUGAGGGACAGGAUCUCCGAUCGAAACCAAGGACUCACUGAUUCACGAACGUGGACAACAAAUUCAGUUGAUGUGGGGAUUUUUCGUCAGGUUCUGUACUCAGAUCGUAGUGACGCGCCUUAUGGUGAGCAAGGUGUUGAAGUAACAUAAUUCAGACCACACUUGCCAUGAGUAGUGCAAUCACGAGUUUGGAAGGAGCGAAUCGGAGAUCGUAGAACAGCAACCAGUGCAGAUGACGCAUCCUGUUGUUCCCAAUCAAGAAACUCUGGAAUUUGCGCUCACCGGUAACAGGAUCGGCACCCAGGAGUACAACGUGGACGGCACAAGCGGUCGGCCGUCACGAACCGCUGGAGCUGUGGCCUGCGAAUCACACAACUCGUCAAUUUGUUGUUUCCAUUGUUUGAAGUUCUUAUUCAUCCAGCUUAACGGAGAUGAGAUUGAAGACAGGUUUGACAUGAGAAAAGAGGAAAAAAAAAAACGCCGUGCCUCAGAAUUAAACGGUGAGCCUGGAAGCGCUAGAUCGCAAGAAGCUCUAGAUACCAAUGUAGAAUUAGGAAAGAAAGAGAAAGAGGAAUUCUGUUAUUCUAUUCAUAUUAUAAAGAAGUUACAGUAGGGUGCUUAUUUAUACUAGCAAGAGUAACAACUAUAACAACAUAGAAUGACAGCUAAGCAUAUUAACAAAUAGAAUGACAGCUAAGCAUAUUGGCCACAG
Molecule: long non-coding RNA, 5669 nt
Filed under: Lathyrus oleraceus (garden pea)
Lineage: Eukaryota; Viridiplantae; Streptophyta; Magnoliopsida; Fabales; Fabaceae
Description: Pisum sativum (pea) long non-coding RNA (PSAT_LNC010083)
Source: RNAcentral